Molecule: ribosomal RNA, 440 nt
Filed under: uncultured bacterium
Lineage: Bacteria
Description: partial 16S ribosomal RNA
Rfam family: Bacterial small subunit ribosomal RNA
Source: RNAcentral
CCUACGGGUGGCAGCAGUGGGGAAUAUUGCACAAUGGGGGAAACCCUGAUGCAGCGACGCCGCGUUAGUGAAGAAGUAAUUCGUUAUGUAAAGCUCUAUCAGCAGGGAAGAAAAUUACGGUAGCUGAGUAAGAAGCCACGGCUAACUCCGUGCCAGCAGCCGCGGUAAUACGUAGGGGGCAAGCGUUCUCCGGAUUUACUGGGUGUAACGGGAGCGUAGACGGCAGUGCAAGUCUGGAGUGAAAGGCGGGGGCGCAACCCCCGGACUGCUCUGGAAACUGUACGGCUGGAGUGCAGGAGAGGUAAGUGGAAGUACUAGUGUAGCGGUGAAAUGCGUAGAUAUUAGGAGGAACACCAGUGGCGAAGGCGGCUUACUGGACUGUAACUGACGUUGAGGCUCGAAAGCGUGGGGAGCAAACAGGAUUAGAUACCCCAGUAGUC